GACAGAGGAGGCGAGCGCUAUCCGGGGUUAUUGGGCGUAAAGGGUACGUAGGCGGCUGGUCAAGUCUGGGGUCAAAGGCCACAGCUCAACUGUGGGAAGGCCCUGGAAACUGACCGGCUAGAGUGAGGUAGGGGUUGCGGGAAUUCCCGGUGUAGCGGUGAAAUGCGUAGAGAUCGGGAAGAACACCUGAGGCGGAAGCGCGCAACUGGGCCUCAACUGACGCUGAGGUACGCAAGCUAGGGGAGCGAAGGUG
Molecule: ribosomal RNA, 253 nt
Filed under: uncultured bacterium
Lineage: Bacteria
Description: partial 16S ribosomal RNA
Rfam family: Bacterial small subunit ribosomal RNA
Source: RNAcentral